Molecule: signal recognition particle RNA, 299 nt
Filed under: Aotus nancymaae (Ma's night monkey)
Lineage: Eukaryota; Metazoa; Chordata; Mammalia; Primates; Aotidae
Description: Metazoan signal recognition particle RNA (ENSANAG00000012198.1)
Rfam family: Metazoan signal recognition particle RNA
About the family: The signal recognition particle (SRP) is a universally conserved ribonucleoprotein. It is involved in the co-translational targeting of proteins to membranes.
Source: RNAcentral
GCUGGGCAUGGUGGCGCAUGCCUGUAGUCCCAGCUGUUUGGGAGGCUGAGGCUGGAGGAUCACUUGAGUCCAGGAGUUCUGGGCUGUAGUGCGCUAUGCCGAUCAGGUGUCCUUACUAAGUUCAGCAUCAAUAUGGUGACAUCCCGGGAGCGGAAGACCACCAGGUUGCCUAAGGAGGGGUGAACUGGCCCAGGUCAGAAAUGGAGCAGGUCAAAACUCCCAUGCUGAUCAGUAGUGGGGUCAUGCCUGUGAAUAGACACUGCACUCCAGCCUGGGCAACAUAGCGAGACCCCAUCUCU